This 431-nucleotide microRNA precursor is filed under the name Malus domestica (apple). RNAcentral describes it as "miR10989e stem-loop (mdm-MIR10989e)". The record is from miRBase by way of RNAcentral. Lineage: Eukaryota; Viridiplantae; Streptophyta; Magnoliopsida; Rosales; Rosaceae.
AGUMUUCAAACAAAUUGCUUAAGGUGCCAUUGUGGCACAUAAAACACCAUUGUCAUUGUCAAGGAUUUGUCCAAAUGUGCAAGAAGUGGCAUCCAUCAAUUCUGCGACAAAAAAGACCUUGAUGUCGAGAAGGUCAAGGUCAUGCCCACCGGUGUAAGGAUCGACUGAUAUUGAAAGCUUUGUGGCUUCCCAUUAUCCUCAUUAUCCCCAUUAUCUACUAACGACCCAUAGAUAGAUAAUGGGGAGCCAACAAAGCUUUUAAUAUCAGUCGAUCCUCACACCGGCGGGUAAGACCUUGAACUCAUCGAUAUCAAGGCCUUUCUUCUUGUAGAAUUGAUGGAUGACACUUCUUGCGCAUUUGGACAAAUCUUUAAGGAUGUCAAUGGUGUUUUCGUGCCACAGUGGCACCUUAAGCAGCUUGUUCUCUUCCU